CACUUUCAACAACGGAUCUCUUGGCUCUCGCAUCGAUGAAGAACGUGGCGAAGUGCGAUAAGUAAUGUGAAUUGCAAAAUUCCGUGAAUCAUCGAAUCUUUGAACGCAAAUUGCACUCUCUGGUAACCCGGGGAGUAUGCCUGUUUAAGGGUCAGU
RNAcentral lists this ribosomal RNA (156 nucleotides) under uncultured Glomus. Its description in RNAcentral is "5.8S ribosomal RNA". It matches the Rfam family "5.8S ribosomal RNA". From Rfam's summary of the family: 5.8S ribosomal RNA (5.8S rRNA) is a component of the large subunit of the eukaryotic ribosome. It is transcribed by RNA polymerase I as part of the 45S precursor that also contains 18S and 28S rRNA. Lineage: Eukaryota; Fungi; Glomeromycota; Glomeromycetes; Glomerales; Glomeraceae. The record is from RNAcentral.